Molecule: unclassified non-coding RNA, 351 nt
Filed under: soil metagenome
Description: partial contains 5.8S ribosomal RNA, internal transcribed spacer 2, and large subunit ribosomal RNA
Rfam family: 5.8S ribosomal RNA (bases 1-120)
Source: RNAcentral
GAUGAAGAACGUAGCGAAAUGCGAAAAGUAAUGUGAAUUGCAGAAUUCAGUGAAUCAUCGAAUCUUUGAACGCACAUUGCGCCCGCCAGUAUUCUGGCGGGCAUGCCUGUCUGAGCGUCAUUUCAACCCUCACGCCCUUAGGGCGUGGUGUUGGGGAUCGGCCAAGGCCCGCAAGGGACGGCCGGCCCCUAAAUCUAGUGGCGGACCCAUCGUGGCCUCCCCUGCGAAGUAGUAAUAUAUUCCGCAUCGGAUAGCGAUGAGCCCCUGCCGUUAAACCCCCAACUCUUUCAAGGUUGACCUCAGAUCAGGUAGGAAUACCCGCUGAACUUAAGCAUAUCAAUAAGCGGAGGA